UCUUUGAUUGAAAUUUUGCAUAGCAUUGGCAAGAAAAUUGUUUUCUGAUGAAUCUGGUCGUGAUUAUCAUGAAGAUCACAGGAUCCUUUGCUGAAUUCUACAUUUGAUGAUCUCAUUUUUCGUGUAUUUUUCUAUUGUUAGGAACAAGGUUGGUGUGAAAUUGUGAUCAAAGUAAAUAAGAAGGGAUGAAGGAUAGGCAAAAUUAAAUGGUCUGUCAGAGGGAGAGAGAGAGAGAGAGUCAAACUAAUGAAAUACUUUGUAAGUCUCGUAAAAGUAAUAUUUGAUACUGAUUUGUGGGGAUGAUUCGAUAAGUUUCAAACAAAUUAAAUAAAAUAAAAUUUAUGAUAAAAAUCUAAGAGAAUAAAAUUGUACUCUCAAAACAUAUAAUUCAAUUUUUUUUUUUUUUGUGAUGAUGAAAUAAUACAAAUGGACAAUUUUUUUGUACUACAUUUGGUACAUAAGAAUUAUUUGCUAAUAAUACACAAUUUUAAAUACCAAUUAAAAUUCCUAGAUACAUGAUCUAUAGCCUCAGUUUGGCCCCCAUUUUUUAAAAUUAAAAUGGGUAUAAUAGUAUUUUUUUUAUUUUUUUUUUGAAAAUGGGUGAUUGAAAAAAAAAAAUUCGACUUACUUGUAAUAUUAUUUUAUGGAAAAUUGUGUGAUUAAAAAUAGGAGAGAGAGAAAUGAAAUUUAAUUUAAUGUGGGCCAAACGAGAUUAUAAUAUCUCUAAAUUCAUGUAGAUCAAGAUUCAUCGAGUCAAAAUAAAUUGAGUCUAGAUUAAUGUAAAUGUUAAUUAAUUGAGAAUUAAUAAUACGAAUUUUGUAGUACUUAUUACAUAUUGAAAAAUGAGAAAUAAGAUAUUAUUGAAAUAACUGAAUUAUAGUUGAAUUAAAAUCGCCAAAUAAAUGAUUCUCACUUGACGUGAUACAUUAAGGUAAAGAUUUUGUUUCAGAUCUUUCAGUAUGCAUAUCAGUGAACUGGAUCAAGUGAUGAAAAGAUUCACAAAAUCGAUUUCAAAUUUCAUACAAAAUAUGGAAUACCCAUAAAUCAAGAAAAGGAAAAGACACUUGCUUUUAUAUUUCUGACCAAAAUAACAUACUAAAUUCUUGAAAUUAUACAGUGGAACUCUUGGUUUUAUUACCACUAUAAUGUCGGAUCCUGGUCUUGUUAUUGUCGGUCCUAUGUGAUUCGAGAACCCUAUUUCACUUUGUUAUUUUACAAGUUUGUUUAGUAGGAUUCUUCCUUUUGAGUCUAUUCCAUACCUUAGAAAAAAUAAAAAAUGUCUAGUUUGUUAUGGACUCAUUCCCAAGAAGGAGAGUGAACAAGGGACGACUAAUUUGGUGUAUCUAAGAAUGCAAGCCUGGCUAGAAAGUACUUGAAUUGCCGUUUUAACCGACACUAGGAUAAGUAUUUACGGAUUUUGAAAAUUUUCACUUAGAGUGAAUGGUAAGAAUACGUAUAAUUACGUAAACUCGAUUGUUGUGACUUACCUCGAGUUGAUCAAACUAAAUCGGAACUAUAGAUUACAUAUGGCCUCAUGGUGGAAGGCAUAUUUUCUCCGCGCAAGUACAAAUAAUGUUACUUUUAACAAAAACAAAUGAUGUCAAAUAAUUUCUAUAGGUGAUGAGUGAAGGGCUAAUGUUAGUGUAUCUUCAUCUGAAAGGUAACAAUCUGUAUGGACCAAAUGGCUCAAAAUUGGAGAAUGUUAUUAUGGCAGUGGUUUGGUUUGCAACAUCACAUAUCCCCAUUCUUUUGGAGUAUACCUUGAAGUUAAGGAAAAAUGACACGUUAGACCUCAAAACAAGAAGAUUAUGAUAAGUUGAUAAAUCGAUAGUCCGCGUAAAACAUUUUCAAAUCUUAAUACACGUACACUGGGAUCGAUAUAAGACUUCCUUUUAAAUAUUUGAAACUAACAAAGUCGACUAGUCGAGCAUGCUCAUACUUAACAUGGACGAUACAUUUAACGGGAUCUCAUCACGUGAUGAAAUUGUAGCACAAAAAAGUACACAAAAUUACUCCAGUUCAUUGAUGGUGUCUUGGCUUGUGAUAAACUGUGGACCAGUCUUGAUGGACAAGAAGUUCUAUGUAAUCAAAUUUGAAUGCUCUAUCGGCCUCUGAUUUCUCAUCGGCAGCAUUAGGUUGCCUUUUUAUAAUUUGAAAUUAUUAAGGCAAAAGAGAGAGUUCAUUGAAACGUGUCGUUUUAUAUAUUCUUUUAUCAUUAGCCUUUUGAGUGGCAUUUCUGUUUACAACCUUCUUUUUCUUUAAUUUCAAUAUUUUCAAACUUCUCCUCCUAAAAUUGUACGUCAAAAAUAAGAUUUUUUCCCCCUUGACGAUCCUAACAAAAACUCUUGAGACCAAACAAUUGUCAUCUAACAUAUGGUCAAAAUUAAAAAGUCAAUUGUAGUUGGGCAAUUUUAGACUUUUUGCCUAACACAUGUUAUUGCUUCCUCAUGUUACAUUUUCUUCUUGGAAAUGAAAAUUGUGUCAACAUUUGAGAUAUGAACUUUAGAAUUAAAAUAUAAAACCCUAGAAAGUUGUUGGGCUUGAAAUGGGACAAGAUUCGUCUUGAUUCAAGUAAAAUUGAUUCUCUUAUAAAAGGAUUUCAUGAAAUAGAUAUCCUGCGCUUGGGCUCAAAGGUAUAUCUCCUUUUAAUUUGUAAUUUAGAAUCCGUUUGGCAUGAUUAUUAUAAGUGAGAUUUCUGACUUUCAUGGCACUUUGUUGAAAACCAACAGUUAUUAACUUUUUGAUAAUAGCUUUUUUUUUUUUUUUUUUAAACAAAUUUAACAGUUGUAUUCAUAAUAACAUGCCAAACGGACCCCUUGGAUACUUACUAUUCAAGACAAAUUCUUUAUUACUAAGGGUUCGUUUGAUUGUCAAUAUUUUUUUAUGAAAAAUGUAUUUUUCACCCAAAUUCCUACUUUCGUAUUGUUUGAUUAACAUUUUUUCCAUGAAAAAUGAUUUUCUACUUUUGGUCACGUGAUCAUAUUUUCCUCAAAAUCAGGGAAAAGAGUAAGAUUUUAUUUUUUAGGGAAUUCACUCACUCUCUUUCUCUCUCAUGUAUCCACUCUCUCUCAUUCAUCCAUCAAUAAAAAUCGGACAAGUAUAAUAUUUUUUAGGUUAAAAAUUAAAUAAAUCAAACACAUUAAAUUGAUAAUUUUCAUGCAAUUAAGUUUUAGGCAAUUGAAUUACCAAAAAUUUAUUUUCUUUUCAUGCAAAUUUCAUACUUGCAAUCAAGGCACCCUAAAUGUCUGUUUGCUUAAAACUCGUGUUUUUUAACAAUAAUGUUUGUCAGAUUUAGCCCUUGUUUGUCUCUUUUUUUUUUUUUUGCAAAUUUUAAUGUUUGCAAUAGUAUUUUUGGAGAAUAUGUGGUUAAAAAGGAAGAAAUAUUUUUUGAUUUACAUGUAAUAUUAUUUUGUGAAAAAUUGUGUGGUUGAAAAUAAAAGAGAAAAUUUUGAAAGGAAAAGUGGGCAAACAGGAGCUUAAGAAAGUAAAAAGAAAAAAGAAGAAAAAAUUUGAGUGGCGGUGGCCGGUGAGUAAGUAAGCAUGCGCCAGUCACGUGAUAUACGAAUGGACAAUACACGAAUCCAGCGGAAACACCACAUUAUAUGCAUGUGGCGUCACGUGAAUACUCCAUCCUUGUGGGCCAUGGGCCUCUUUAUCUUUCUAAAUCUUUUUGGGCCUAAAGUCCUUAACCACUUCAUUGUUUAUUUUUUAUUUUUCUCUUCUUGUUAUUGAAGAAAAUUUACAAAAAUGAUUCUACUAGAGUCAAAGUGAUGGCCCAUUCUCACCUUCAUUUUAUUUUUCUUUUUCUUUUACCCCAAAUUUUAUAUUCUCAAACUAAAAGGUUAUACUACUAAAGACCUAGUGUCACAUUGUUUUAUUGUUAUUAUGUAAUCACGAUUGUCCGUUAAAAAAAAAUUAUUUCUGUAAAUUCAUAAGAAACAUAGACGUGUUUAUUUCAUCAAGUAUCAUCGAUUAUGAUGAACAAUCAAUUUUCAAUUAAUUUUUCUCCCAAUAUACUAGACAUACAUAAUGUUAUCUAUAUAUUUACGGCAUAUUUAAUACUUUGGACUUGAUUUAAAGGAAAAUGUAAAGAUGCCUAGUCAUAUUCAAUCUUAACAUACUAACUUUAUUCACAUAUUCGUACAUCCACUUAUCCAGAUAUAAUCUGCACUUAUUGUAAAGAAAUGGUAAGAAUACCCCCAUUUGCCUCCUCUUAUAAAGCUCACAUUCGUACAUCUAAUUAAGGAGCAUAGCAAAAUUCAUAAAGCUCCGACCACAUGCAUUUAUGGUUUGUCUAUCAUGUAUGAUUUAUUUUUAUCAUUAACACGUCCGAAAUUCAAUUCUAAUGUUUCAUUUCGUCAUAUUGUCUCUUGAUCACGUACAAUACUAUAUAAAUCAUUUAAAUGGGUCAAAAUGAAAAGGUUACCUUUUAAUUUUCUUCAUUUCUUUUUGGUGGCUCGAGUGCCUGAAAUGUCUAAUCCUAUGUUGUUUAAAGCAUGCAUGCAUGCCACUUAUCAUGAAAAGGUUCAACAAUUAUUUCUAUUUUCAAUUUUUUAAUACAUGUGCUCACAAACAUUAUUAAAGUUACAAAAAAUAAUUCAUACAAUGUGAGUUGUUGAAAAUAAUCCCAAAUGCUUGUUGGGUUGCCUGCUUUUGGAUAGACCAAACAGGUGAAAAAAAGGCUGGCCUAAGAUUAUAAUAAACAUAUAUUAAUUUUGUUGGGUUUUAGGUUUGUUUUUUAGUUCAAUAAUUUUGGCACGGUGAAAUGAUCAUUCUUUUCGACUUUUGAUACUUGUACCAAGAGUUUGGUUAUGAAGAAAACAAUUUUGAAUGCGCACUAUAACUUGAGAGCUCAAUUUUUAGAAUUCGACUCAAGUUUAAAAAUCUCAAGCUUGACCCUAAUAACGAGACUUGUAUAGAGUUUGGUUGUUUCACCUCUCUCAACAAGUUCUUUGGUGGUGUGUUAGUGCCAAUGAUUUGAACAAUCCUUGCAUGUCCAAGGCAUUCAAGAUAUUCGGUAGGAUAUUGAUUAUUCAAAAUAUAGAAAGACUUGUCUGAUCAUAAUCUCGUUUUUAACUAAAUAAAAAAAUACAGGCUCUGCACAAGAAGUUAAGUGAUUUAUGAGGUGCUAACAUAUAGGAUUUUUCUAAUACAUCGUAACCUUGCAAUUUGAGCAAAUUACAAAAAUCCAACAUUAAAAGUUAAAAAAUAAAUGGAAAAUUAGGUAAAACUCAGUUGAAGAUCAAAUCACAUACAACUCUUAGUUGCUAAAUAAAGCACGUAUACAUUUUACCAGCCGGGUCGGGUUGCCACCCAAUCUUCUACCAGCAAUUUGUGGGCUCACCCUUUAUAACAUGGGCUUUGGGUCCUAUUUGGACCCUAGAACCAACUUUGGCCCAACCCAUUUAAAAAAUAAUAAUUUAAAUAAUGUUAUACGUACAUCAGAAUGUCCAUAACAGUGUCUACCAUCCUCACAUAGAAGGAUACCCUUAUCCAAUAAAAUAUAAAAAAUGAGCCGCCCUCCUUAUGAGAAGGGUGGACAUCUUUAUGAAAAUCGUACUAUGUACAAGUAACAUAUUUCAAAUAAUUUUGCAAAGGGAGACCUUUUAUUUACACAGCUGGGCGUUUUCUUGUUCAGUAAUUCUUUGUGCAUGAAAAAAAAACAAAAAACACACACACACACGCACAAAAUAGAACAUCGUUCGAAUAUCGAAGAACUAAUCAUCAAUAAUUAGCCUUCUAACAAGAAUACAUAUCAAGCCAUCCCAUCUCAGCCGUCUAGAGUCGAACACUCAUUGCCUCAAAAUCAUAAUUAUGUCUAUACCUACAAUGUCACAUGUCGACCGCAAAUCUUGAAAACCGUAUGUAUCAUUCUGUAUUACCUGAUAGUUGAAACCGGGGGAGUAUUAGUUUUUAAUUUUUUGUUAAUCGAAGAUUUUUUCCCCCUUUCAUAUGAAUCUACAGUAAAGCAUUCCAAAGAGCCUCUUCUCCUUCACCACAUUGUUUGUGUACAAAUUUAAUCUUUUCGACUGACUUGCAAAUUCCACUGCAGCUCCAGUCGAAGGAGGCAAUACAAACGUUACCUGCUUGUGCUUUCCAUUCACAAUCUGUAAAUGGCAACAAAAUUUACGGUCAAAAGAAGUAUGACGUGAGCAAAUGAAGUUACUCUUACUUAAAGGUAACUUCUAAGCUUAGCCAAACGUGCUAAUCUAUAGAACAAUACCUGGUGGAGUGCCACAACACAUACUGCGUUCAUCUAUGUGCUCGACUUCUAGACCAAUAAACCAAGCACCAAGCGACACAUCUUCGUUCGCAAACUUAUGCAAUAUGGGCCUACAUUUAUAAAUCAUAUUUCCAACAAUUAUUACAUAUAUCCCAGAAAAACCAAUGAAACAAAUGAAAUCUGAUAACCAACAUGAUCAACAAGCUUGGCAUUAUAUUCACCUUUCCACAUAAGCACCAAAACAAAAAGGAUGCAGUCAAUCUUGACACUAUAAAAAAAGAAAGGAAAAAAUGCUUACUGAUUAAUUGAGAUGUAGUUAGCCAAAUCCUUAGAUAUAGCAUAAAUCUGACCAGUUGCGUGUCGGAAGUAUCUAUUUCCUUCUUCACCGAAUUUCCAGAACUCGGGUUCAUGGUACUAAACAUUCCUGGAUAACAUAACAUAGGUAAAUGCGUAAAUCUCGACUAUCAUCAAAAUUGCUGUAUAAAGAGCUUAAAAUGAAAAAAAUAAAAAAAAUAAAAAAAUCUACCAUUUGACAGUGAAAUCCCAGAUUAUACAGUUGUUGAGGGGAGAACAUUGUUGUUAGGUAAUUGAAUCCGUUCAAUCUGCAAACCUUUUAUCGUCGCCCCACGAACUCUUCUCUUCCAUAUAUUCACCUCAUCACGGCCACCGAAACCUGGCGCCGCAGCAGGUGGUUGCACCCUCUUCACCACCGGCAAGGGCGGAUCCAGUUCAUCAAUAUUCACUUCUUUGACACUUUCUUGAUCCUUAAUCUUGGAUUUUCUUGAAUCAACUACACACAUUUCCCUGCUGCUUCUACAACUUCUUCGAGUGGUGGCGAUAGUGGCGGUCUUAGUGGUGGCUGGCAUGAGGGCUUUGCUGGAAAACAGUUUUUUCAACUUGGUAUAUUUGUUGUUGUGGUGGUGGUUGACUGCAGCGGCGCUGGUGGCAGCGGCUGUGAAUCUGUAGGUGGCGGGAAAGCUAAUGAUUCUGUUGUUUCUCUUGACUUGUCCUAUGCAACUGACUUUAGGGGAAGAAGGAUCGGAUGAUGAAGAUUGAUUUUUGUAGUGAUUUAGUUUUAUGUCUUUGAUUGAAAUUUUGCAUAGCAUUGGCAAGAAAAUUGUUUUCUGAUGAAUCUGGUCGUGAUUAUCAUGAAGAUCACAGGAUCCUUUGCUGAAUUCUACAUUUGAUGAUCUCAUUUUUCGUGUAUUUUUCUAUUGUUAGGAACAAGGUUGGUGUGAAAUUGUGAUCAAAGUAAAUAAGAAGGGAUGAAGGAUAGGCAAAAUUAAAUGGU
This 7514-nucleotide long non-coding RNA is filed under the name Olea europaea (common olive). RNAcentral describes it as "long non-coding RNA (OEUR_LNC004227)". Lineage: Eukaryota; Viridiplantae; Streptophyta; Magnoliopsida; Lamiales; Oleaceae. The record is from RNAcentral.